GCUGAUUCACUCCCCUAAAUUCCUAGAUUUCAUUACUCAUCACCUUACCUUCUUACAUUUGUCAUCUUCAACUUUUGCAAUUGAGAUCAUCACUUACGUAGAUGAACAAACCCAUUGCUAUAAAUAGCUCAUCAAUCUGGCCAAAAAUCUACAACAGUCAAAGCAUUCCAUUUUAAUUUUUCACCAUUAAAACCCAUGAAAUUUCCUUACCUUUUUACUCUUAUAAAUUCAGUUUCGAACCACCAUCAACCACCACCGUGACCACCUUGACCACCACCGUCAACCACCACUUCCACCACCUCGCCUCACCUCCGGCUGUUUCAGUCGACCACCACCACUGCAACUCCCUCCAUUUCCUUCGACCAGAAUCGGGCCACACUCCCCUGCCUUUCUUUUUCUCCCUGUUGUACCACCGUGCCACACCACCACCAUCGGCCACCCUCACCGUCCUUUCUCCUUUGCUCUUGCACUGCCCUGCCUAUCCCCCUCCCUCUCCUCCGCGCAAGCUGCGCGCAACCACGACCACCCCUUCCCUACUUUUCCCCUGUACGCGCAACACCCCCCCCCACCUUGCCUGACGCGCCGCCGCGAACCACCACACCACUGACGCCUUUCCACCGUGGGUUCGCGUCCCCGUGCUACCCGAGCCCAGACCUAGCUGCCACCUCUCUUUCUCCUCCCCUGCUCCUUCGUGCCCUGUUGCUGCUUCCUCUCUCCUUUUUGCUCGACAUUCAGGAAGCCAGGAAAUCAAUUCCUGACUUUUGAAUUCUUUCCCUAUUAAACCCAAAACAAAAGUGUUGGGCCCAAUUCUAACAUUUGGGUUUUUGAAAUUAGACUCGGGGCUCAGGAAGGACGAUCCAUCAGACAGGGAGUAUAAAAACUACGGUUGAGGAAAGGCGGAUAGAGAUUCACGGAGGUUUCCUGGUCAUGAGGAGGUGUUGAGAUGUCUACUCAUAAUCCUGGUUUUAACAGAGCGAUGUUGGUUCUACCAGGUUGUAGUCUUGAUAGGGAGUUCUGCGAGUGUUGUCGAUAUAUGAUAACUUGUGGCUCCAUCCAAUGGUAAAACCACUCACCUAGGGUAAGAAAUAGGUGGCCACCAUGAGAAAAAGUUCGUUGAUGGCAUUGUUUGUCCCUGUUGGCGGGGAUUAGUAUUUACUUAAGUUGUGGAAAUUAACUAAAUCAGUAAAUUAAUGUAUAACAAUCAAAAGCAAUCCUGCUAAAAUUACUACGCAUCUACUAAAUUCUAUAGUAAUCGAAGCAUUCAAAUAAUUAAUGUUUGAUAAAAAUCUUUUUCUAGAUUAUACUCCGUAUCUAUUUAUAGUUUCAUUUGUUCUUGAGGUAGAGUUAUAGGGGACUUUUAUUCGAUGUGUUAAUUAGCUAAAAACGCCCUGAUUUUUUACGGUAAAGUACAAUGAUACCCUUUACAAAUAAACUCACCCACCUCCCUCUCCACCCUUCCUGUCAACUGCUUGAUACUUGAUAGUAACGAAACUCGGCCACCCUCGCAAAAACCGACAGGAACUUCCCGACCACCGAAAUUCGUGGCCUCCAUUUUUUCGCCUCCCAUUUCUGUCUUCUCCUCCCCUCUUUGUUUUCGCCUCCCGUUCGUCCUCCCUUGUCCAUCCCCUUCUUCCUCCCUCAUCUAAACUCCGGUCUUUAAUUAUUAUUUUUUUUAAAAAUGUAACUGCCGCGCACGACAUUUGCGGGGGAUCCAUGGCCGCCACGCACAGGUUGUGCGCCGGCGACACGGUGUCCGUGCAGAUCUGGUGCACAAGCACCGUGUCGCCGACGCACAACCUUUGCGCGGCGGCCAUGAAUCCCCCGCAAAAGCUGUGCGCGGGACUGCCUGCAGGUUUGAUUAUUUUCUUAAUUAUUUUUUCUGUUUUUUGUUUUUAUUAUUGUCCCUCCUUAAUUGCUUUUCUUAUUGUUUAGUUUCGUUAAUUUGCUUUCUUUGGAACUGUUCUUCCUCUCAUGAAUCAAAAAAGUUGUUUAAAUUUUGGCUGGGAGUUUGUUAUGGCAUCCAAACAGAGGAAAGGCUGAAAUUAUGGUUGGGAGUUUGUUAUGGCAAUCAACAUUCAACACAGCUGUUUGUUAUGGCUCUCAACAGAGGAGAGGCUGAAAUCAAAAAAUUUGCUUAUUUUUUUGUUGGGAGUUUGUUUAAUAAAAAAGUUGUUAAUAUGGGUUUAUGCUUGGGUAUUAUAUACAAAGUUAUAAAAAGAACGUCGUCGGAAUUUAUGGUUUCCGGCAGGAAGACAGAGCUGUCUGCCGGAGGGGAUGUGAGGGGGGAGGGGUACAAAUUUUAUAAGGGUAAAAGUGUACUUU
Molecule: long non-coding RNA, 2322 nt
Organism: Spinacia oleracea (spinach)
Lineage: Eukaryota; Viridiplantae; Streptophyta; Magnoliopsida; Caryophyllales; Amaranthaceae
Exons: 3
Source: RefSeq, a predicted model, not a curated record